GAUUUUGUAGUUGAAUGCAACGGCGGUUUUUCAAGUCGCAGGUCCUGGUUAAAGUCCUGGCAAAAUUA
Molecule: transfer RNA, 68 nt
Filed under: Chitala chitala (clown knifefish)
Lineage: Eukaryota; Metazoa; Chordata; Actinopteri; Osteoglossiformes; Notopteridae
Description: tRNA-Glu
Rfam family: tRNA
About the family: Transfer RNA (tRNA) molecules are approximately 80 nucleotides in length. Their secondary structure includes four short double-helical elements and three loops (D, anti-codon, and T loops). Further hydrogen bonds mediate the characteristic L-shaped molecular structure. tRNAs have two regions of fundamental functional importance: the anti-codon, which is responsible for specific mRNA codon recognition, and the 3' end, to which the tRNAs corresponding amino acid is attached (by aminoacyl-tRNA synthetases). tRNAs cope with the degeneracy of the genetic code in two manners: having more than one tRNA (with a specific anti-codon) for a particular amino acid; and 'wobble' base-pairing, i.e. permitting non-standard base-pairing at the 3rd anti-codon position.
Source: RNAcentral